This 489-nucleotide ribosomal RNA is filed under the name uncultured bacterium. Its description in RNAcentral is "bacterial SSU rRNA". It matches the Rfam family "Bacterial small subunit ribosomal RNA", at positions 28 to 516 of the family's 1533-position model. The record is from RNAcentral.
GACGAACGCUGGCGGCGUGCUUAACACAUGCAAGUCGAACGAUGAAACAAUUCUUGAUGUCUUCGGACUGAAAGAGCUGUGGAUUAGUGGCGGACGGGUGAGUAACGCGUGAGCAAUCUGCCUUACACAAAGGGAUAGCCUCGGGAAACCGGGAUUAAUACCAUAUGAUAUCACAUUUUCGCAUGAAGAAGUGAUUAAAGAAAUUCGGUGUAAGAUGAGCUCGCGUCCCAUUAAUUAGUUGGUGAGGGUAACGGCCCACCAAGAUAGCGAUGGGUAGCCGAUCUAAGAGGAUGACCGGCCACAUUGGAACUGAGAAACGGUCCAAACUCCUACGGGAGGCAGCAGUGGGGAAUAUUGCACAAUGGGGGAAACCCUGAUGCAGCGACGCCGCGUGAGCGAUGAAGGCUUUCGAGUCGUAAAGCUCUGUCCUAUGGGAAGAUAAUGACGGUACCAUAGAAGAAAGCCCCGGCUAAUUACGUGCCAGCAGCC